GUAGAAGUAUGUAAGGGUGUAUGGCGGAUGCCUAGGCUCUCAGAGGCGAAGAAGGACGUGAGACACUGCGAAAAGCUACGACGAGGCGUGCACUAUCCAUUGACUCGUAGAUAUCCGAAUGGGGCAACCCACUUGGUUGAAGACCAAGUAUCCAUUUAUGGAGGUAAACGCAGGGAACUGAAACAUCUAAGUACCUGUAGGAGAAGAAAACAAAAGUGAUUUCCCUAGUAGUGGCGAACGAACGGGAAUUAGCCCAAACCAACGAGGUUUCGGCCUUGUUGGGGUUGUAGGACCACAAUAUAAGAGUAUGAAGCUAGAAGAAUCAACUGGAAAGUUGAACCGUAGAGGGUGAUAGUCCUGUAUUUGAAAGCGGAGUAUAAUUUAGUGGUAUCCUGAGUAGCUCGGGGCACGUGAAACCCUGAGUGAAUUUGCCAGGACCAUCUGGUAAGGCUAAAUACU
This 459-nucleotide ribosomal RNA is filed under the name uncultured Flavobacteriaceae bacterium. RNAcentral describes it as "bacterial LSU rRNA". It matches the Rfam family "Bacterial large subunit ribosomal RNA", at positions 1 to 474 of the family's 2925-position model. Lineage: Bacteria; Pseudomonadati; Bacteroidota; Flavobacteriia; Flavobacteriales; Flavobacteriaceae. The record is from RNAcentral.